Molecule: microRNA, 23 nt
Filed under: Bombyx mori (domestic silkworm)
Lineage: Eukaryota; Metazoa; Arthropoda; Insecta; Lepidoptera; Bombycidae
Description: bmo-miR-3369
Source: miRBase by way of RNAcentral
UACUUACAGAUAGAUCGUUUUCA